Molecule: unclassified non-coding RNA, 498 nt
Filed under: Hevea brasiliensis (rubber tree)
Lineage: Eukaryota; Viridiplantae; Streptophyta; Magnoliopsida; Malpighiales; Euphorbiaceae
Source: RNAcentral
CUUAGUUGAGUUGAGUUGAGUUGUCAUGUUUGGGGAAUUCUUGUGUUAAAAAUUAGCCCAUAGAGUUCUGUAUUAUUUGUCAAAUGCAGAUGGUUAUUAUCAGAUAGAAUUGUACUGAAAAUUUAUCAGAAAAAAGCCUUAAUGGGUCCUGUAGAAAAUCAAGAAGGGAAAUGCUUGUUCUGUGCUUGUUGAUGAAGCCAAACCAUGGAGUGCAUUAUCCAAAUUAUUGCUGCAACUUUUCUGUGUGAUAUGGUAGUUUUGUUGUAUAAAUUGCUCUGACCUUAUUAAACACUUAAUUAUGAUUCCACCAAAGCAUGGUAUUAGGCUAUUAGCAAGGCAACUGUGACCAUGAAAAGUCCUUUUUACGUGAAAUUGUUGCUCUGAAUCCUGGAAUCUGAAUCUGUUGGCUUCAAGCACUGGAUGUUACCUGCUCAGGUAAAAGGUACGUACCAGUAAUUGAAACCUGGAUUUUCAGAAGCAAGACAGGCUUCCAUGGGU